AGCCGGUUUACUUGAGUUCACAUCCCACUUGUGACAUAUGCUAGUGAUGCAACCUUGGCCAAGUUACACAAUUCCUCUGUGCCUCUUUUUCCUCCUCCUUAAGAUGGGAGUAAAAAUGGAUGUCCCUAUAGGGCGUCAUGAGAUGACUGAAGUAGCUACGCAUCUAAAGAGUUUAAGACAGUGUCUAGCAUAUAAUAAGCUCUCAUGAACUGUUAGCUCUUAUUAUUAUCAUCAUUACAUGGAAAUCAAAAAAGACCCUGGUCCUUGGGUGUUUGUGUCUCUGGGUCUGGUUGCUGUCAUCUCUGACAUGUAAGUGGCUCCUCCACACGCAGUGCUUCUCCAGAUUUCCACGGAAGAGGCAUGUGGACCUCCACACACACUUUUUUGAAAUCUUUUAUUUUAUUACUAUGUUUGACUACUAAAAAACAUUCUUUACAAACCUCAUAUCCUGGUAAAAUUUACACCCCAAGCAGCUGAACUAUACUUCACCAGGAACUUGUUACAUCCUUCCAGACUCCCUUUUUCCCAAGACUAGAAGCGUGACUCCAUCUUUCCCACCUUUGACCUCCUCAGCACGAGGGACCUUUGCUUUAUUCCACGUCAGCCACCUACACUCAGAGCCACACCCAGCUCUUAUCUUGGCUGGCUACUGCUCCACCUUUGAAAUCUCAAACAGCAGGUCCCACUCUGACCCCUCCCUCUUGUCUUUUCAGAGCUCUCCUCAGACUGGCUCAUUGACCUCCUGAAUUCCAGACUCUGAACCCCUCCCUCGUUUCCUUCCCAGUCGUUCAAACCUUAUUGGUUUCUCAGAUUUGCAACUCGCCAUACCUCUUCCCCCUGCCACGUUGAUGGAUGCAUGGAGCAUGAGCAAGAAAUAGACCUUUCUGUAUGUAGCCACCUAGAAUUUUUUUUUAAUUUCUGCAUCAUGACCUGGCUCAUUUUGACUGGGGCACCUUUUUCCUAGGUGCAUGUGAAGAACAAAGAGGUCAUGUACACAGAGCACUAAGCCCAGUGCCCGGACAAUAAUAACUGCUCAAGAAACAUUAGCUAUUAAUCUUAUCUGCCAAAAUCACAGGGGCCACACACUGCCCUGUAAUGUGUCUGCAAAUUCCAUCAGAUCCCUUCUCCUCUAUGCAAUAGCGAUUUCUAUUAUUCAUUAUCCCACCAAACCUUCAACCUUUGUAGAGAAAAUAGAGGUAAUCAGGUGGAAACUUUCUCAAUAAUUCUCAUCCAAAUUGAUCUGCAGGUUUCCUUUCUGAUCAAUUUCCUUUUUAUUUUAGAAGCAUUUGGGUAUCUCCUGACUGUGUGAACUGGAGGACAGAAGGAGGGGUGACUUCUAAGACCAGGAAAGGUUGAAUAUCAUUCAUUCAUUCACUGAUAUAUCCCUAGUAAGAAGGGGUCUAGGGCCUAGAGAAAGGUGGUUUGAAGAUUGAGAGCUAAAGAGACAGCUAUGCCAGAUCUAUUUUUCUUUCCCAAAUAUACCCCCUCUUUCCCUGUGCUGUCUUUCGUUUACCAUUCUCCCUUCCCACCAGGUACAUGACUAGCCAAAGCUGGGAGAAGGGGAGGACUGGACUGAAGCUCAUGAAUUAGGCCAUGCUGUCACUGUCCUGGGUUUCAGGAGGAAAGGAAGAGAAGCCCAGUGAAGAUCAUGGAGGAAAGCCUCAGGAAGGAGGUGAGGCAGGGACUACCCUUCUGGAACCUCCAUCAACUCUCCUGGCUACGUGAGCAGUUGACGUGCAACAAAAGGCCUGCAUGCUUCCCCCUCUCCAGACAGGUUUCUCUGGAACCCCAACAGACAGACAGACAGUGAUCUUUCUCCUCUCCAGACAACAUCCUCAGCUGCCGCCGCUGACUCAGCCUCCCCGCCCUCCCCGUGGGUGGAGUAGGUAGGCAGCCUGUCCCUGGGGUUGAAGUUGCAGGUGACAUAAGGGUAUAGUUGCAAACGUCUGCAGAUAGGAGACCUCUGAUUUCUCCCCAAACCCUGGGACAUUCACAGCCCUCUCUCCUUUACCUGUCAGUCAGCCCCACCUUCCAGUUCCAAACCCAGACAACCAUCAGUUCCUUCUGUAGUAGACUGGAACACAGUGUCCCUGGAGGCACAGAAGGCCCUAGCUGAAAUGGCCUUCGGGACUAGCUAGCAUUCCCUUUGAGGAGAAACAGACUGCCCACCCAUUCCAGGAAGGCCCAGGAGUCCUGGCUACAACAUCUGAAAAGAGAGCAACUGACAUCCCAGGUGACUUUCUUGUUCAGCACAGCAGACACAGCACCUUGGGUCUAUAAGAAAAUGUUUUCAUAUAGAAUAGUAAGAUCUUUGCCUUUAUGUCAAUUUAGUUGUAAAGUAUAAUUUUACACACACACACUUUUCUGGAAAAGGGAGUCCACACAGGCAAAACUGCCUAGGGCCCAUGAAAAUCAUAUCACAGCCCUGCUUAUAUGGGGAUCAGCCUUCUCUUCUAUAAAAUAAGAUCACAAUACUUUCCACACCAUUCCACCUCCAGUUUCAUCAGUAUUCUGCCUAAACAUCACUGACCUUAACAUUUCCAGAUUUGAAAUGUUUAGAAGCCCCCCACGUAUCCAAUAUGUAACAGCUAGAUUCCUUAGUGCUGCAUUUGAGGCCUUUCACUGUUUUCCACUUUGAGCUUCUACCAUUGUCCCCUUGUACACAACUCUCCGGCUAGGAACAUCAUACCUUGUGCUGCUUGUUCCGGGAACAGGCUGAACCUUGAGUUCCAGCAUGCCUUUGCACACUCAGGCCCCUUUUGCUUUGAAAGCAUUCCCUUCCCCUUCUCUGCCUGAUGGUGUCCUGUGACAGCACAGCUAGUGAAGUUGCAGCAUCCAGUGAAAAAGAAAACGUGGAGCUCCUUGCCGAAAACUUGUUGAGAAUUUCAAGAUGGUAGAGGAGAACAUUCAACCAUGUAUGGGGCUCUUCUGUGCUCAUGGCCCUGUGGACCUGCCCAUGAAGCCAUCUCUGCCUACUCCUUUCCUGAGAACAUCUCAAAUGACACCUGAUUUUUGAAGCAGUUUUUACUCUUCAAGACCAGCAAUAGGAAGUCACAAAACGAAGCACUUCUUAUGUUCCAGGCAUCAUGCCAAGCACUUUAUGGCCAAGGUUUUAUUUAAUCCUCACAACCACUCCACGAGAAAUCUGUUCCAAAACACUUGGAAAGCUCCUCCUAACAAGCCGAGGCUCAUUUGGCAUCACCUCUUACAGGAAGCCUUUCAUAACUUCUAGCUCUUCCAAAGGCUGAGUUCCCAUAACGUCCAGGCUCACCUCUGGCCCAUAACUUACUGUAUUUACCCCAACUGGGCUGACAGCCCUUUGAAGGUAAAAAUAGUAUCCAAGUCAUCUCUGGAUCUCCAGCCUCCAGCCUGGGACCUCUUUGGCAUCUGGAAGCACACAUUAAUUCUCACAGAAACUCUUGGAGGUAGCUGCAAGAGCUGCUACAGACCUUGAUUAGAGUCAUUACAUAUGGACCUUCAUGAAUCAGAGGAAGAAUGAGGCCUGGAGUCAUAAAGGGGCUUGACUGAAGUCACAGGGCUCAUGGCAGGACCAGGAUCAAAAUAGGUCCCAGUGUGCGGCAGGUAAGUGGCAGGCUUGAAGGAAUGACUAACCGGGUGUGUUAUAAAUUCCUGACCCCCUCCUGCUGCAGCCCUGAUAGGACCACUUAGUUUCCACCAUGGACACUCCACUGUCCUUAUCCCAUGGGCUUUUGCUGGGCUAUUAGAAUCAAGUUCUCUUCUUAGCUCCCUUCUGACUUUGUGCCUUGAACUUGCAAGUUGGUCUUUUGCCUGAUGAGGAUGAUCUUGUUAAAUCUCUAUUAUGCAAACCAGGACUCUGUGGGAGCCCCACUACCUACCUUUUCCUCCAGUCAGUUUCCCAGAAGGCUAGAAUUUGGUCCCUGCUACCUUCUUUCCUGGCCAUUCCUAUCACCUGCUGUGAGACCUGAUAACAUGAUGUUUUCCCUGCCCCUGGGGAUACCCCUGUCAGCAUUGCCAAAAUACUUUGAUUGAUAUUUACUACUCUCGGCCUGAACUCCCUGUUGGUACUACACCUGGGGCAACUGGAGAUCACUAGUUCUGCCCGCUCUGCUCUUGGCAUCCUGAGUUCUCGUCUUCCCGUCCCUCCUGGUCAUACCUGAUACUGACACAUAAGUUGGCUUUUUAAGCUUGCUGUGUGACUUUUGCUUUUUGAAAACUGUCUUCCCUCUUCCAGUCAAGCAGUGCUUACUGGAUUAUUGACUUCCAAAGGCAGUGGUUCCCAAACUUAAGUGUACUUUAGAAACAUCUGGAGAGCUUGAUAAAUAGCUCUGUACCCAGAAACUCUGGUUCAGUGAAUCUGGAGACAGGGCCUUGGAAUAUAUAUUUUUAAUGAGGCAGAUGCUAAGUAGACCAAAGUUGGAGAGAAGGUAGGCACUGUGGUAGUUAAUAAGAAUAACAGGAAUCUCACACAUGUGCAUUUUAUAUCAGUUUGUAAGAUAAUAUUAGUUCAUCUACCUCACCCUUGUGUUAGAACACAACAAAACAAUGAAACAAUACAAAAUACCUCCAUGAACUAGCAUAGAAAAUAAGGCUCUGGAGUCAGAGAAUCCAGGCCUCCACUUACUAAACAAAAGACCUUGUAGAAGUCACUUAACCUUUCUAACAUUGUGUUUGUCCAUCUAUUUUAAUGGAGAUCUUAAUUCCUUAGAGCUUUGUUGUGAAUAUUGAAUGAAAUAUUGCAAAAUGGCCAUUUUAGUAUCCAAUAUAUGUUUGAAGAAUUAAGGAACAAAUAAAGCUAAUAUGUGUGGACAGCUCUCUGUUUGCCAAGAAGUGGUCUGAGGGCUUUAUAUGAACCCAAUUAUUUAAUCCUCAUAGCAGCCUGUGAGGCAGGGGUACCAGUUCCUUCACUUAGAGGCUCACCGACAUUAUGUGACUUGUCCAGAGUCCCUAGACUAGGGGCAGUGCCGAAAUUCAGACUCUGGCUGCUCUGACUUUAGAAAUGGAACUUUGAGCUGCCAUGUAUCUAUCAUGCCACUCCAAAACAGAAUUGAUAGAGUCCUUAAAACAACUCGUUUGGCGCUUGAUCUCCAGCCCCGGUAUCACACUGUAGAAGGAUCGUGGGCUUGGGAAUGAGGAAAAUGGCAGUCCUGGUUCCUCCACUGAUGGCUGUGUGACUGGGGGCAAGCCUCUUCCCCUCUCUGCACUGAGGAGCCAUCAUUCUACAGCUAAAUAUGAGGUGGCACAGAAGGCUGUUGGAAAUAUCCACUGUGAUGUCCUAAAGGAAGCAGCUGCAGGAUUGGGAGCAGAGGUGGGAUUUGGCAUCUCCUAAUUCCCAGCCUCUGGUAGGGAGUCGUGGGGGAGGUUUACUCAGUCUGUCCUCUCCUUCAGCUCUGGGUUCCAGGGCCUGCUUCCCAGGAGAGAGGCAUGGGUAGGGACCCCUCUGCCCUGUGGUGGCAGGAAGCAACAUCUGCUUCCAGGGAGAUGGGACUGCCCAGGAGGUGAUCCCCUCCUGGGAGAUAGAUAGCUGAUGGCUGCCUCCUUUUUCACCUCCAGUGCCUACUGUUAUGGGGGAAAAUUAAAAUACAAACACACCAAAACAGUAACAUGGGCUGUUCAUGCAGAUCACUUGCUUAGCUGCUUUGGAGAGAGAAGGUUUGCUCUUUCUGCUGGCAUGGAACAUCAAAAACAACCAGAGGGCCAGGAAGUCAACUAGGUUAGAACAAGAGGAAACCUCAAACCAGAACCCUUCCUGGCAGUGCAGGGCAGAGGUCAUUAAGAGUGUGGACUCAGGAGUCAGACUCUCUCAGGUUCCGGCCCUCACUGUGCUACCCACCAACAGUGCGACCUUGAGCAGGUCAUUUGAUGACUUAAUGUCAGUUUCCUAAUUCGUAAAGUGUGGAUAAUAAUGAUACCUGCCUUGUGAGUCUCUAUGAGGAACAAACACAAGUAAAGACAAAGGUGUGCCGUGUGGUAAAUAUGCAGUAAACACAUGUUCUUUUUCAAGCCUGAGCACUUUGAGGGACUUGGUCUCCUCCUCCUUCAUCUAAUCCAGUUGUUCAGACUUUACUGAGCAGUUGCCAACUGCUGGGGAGCGUUUUGAGCAUCAGGCAUACAGGCAUACAUAAGACAUAAUACUUGGCUCAACAGAUUUAGUCUCAAAUUUCUAAAAUCCUUGUUGACCUUACCACCCACACACAAAUAACAGUAAUGAUGAUGAUGAUAACGCACACCCCGUGACAUUUACUAGACAAUAGUUAUGUGCAGACUCAGUGCUGGACACAAUGUAUACAUUAUUGCUGACAUUCAUAACAAGCUUUUGGGAUAUGUACUAAUAUUCCCAUUGAUGAGGGAAACUGAAGCUGGAGGAGUGAAGGUUCUGCAGCUGAUGGACUGGAAUCCCAGGUUCUGCAGAUUCUAACAAGGCCUUCUCCUCCCCAAGCUGCCUCCUUCCAGCCUCAAACCUUCACAGGCAGGCUGGCACUUCUGAAUUUAAUUACCACAACCACUCUGAGAGACAGAGACCUUUAUUAUCAGAUCCAUUUUCCCGACAACAGAAGUUAGAGCAGGUUAAGCAGUUUGCCAACUAUAGCUCAGCUAGUGAGCUGUAAAGACUCUGUGUCUUAAGAUCAAAUAAAAGGCAAUUCUGAGGCUGCCGCUUGGUGAGAAGCUUCUGCAGAGGCGAAAAAUAUGUGCAAACAAAACCAACAGCUUUCUUUAUGUUCCCCAAAGUUGCUAAAAAUGCCUGCGGGUUUGCACACAAGCAGACGUGCUCACAAUGUUGGGUGGCUUCUGUCUUCUUGGCUCCAGCAAGAAGAGACCUGGCAGGUAUUUCUCACAUCUUUGUUAAACACAUACAUCAGACAAGGGAAGGAGUUCCAAGGUAGUCCCAGGGUGUGGAUUUCUGCCAAGUUUCCUUUUAUUUGUUGUUAACUUGGAAAAAAAUAAAAGAUGCCUUAUGGAUAAGCCCAUAAUCCCUAAAGCAACUGUGGUGAAAAAUGUCUUCCCUCUACUUGGAAUCAGACAGCCCUGAUCCUGACUGGGGGGUCUUCUACCUGCAAGCCCUGUGAUCUUGUCCAGGUUGCUUAGCCUCCCAGGACUAACCUCUGUCUGCCCAUCUGUAAAAUAGGCAUGACAGUCCCUCCUGCAGGAAGGUAAACUCCAUGAAGGCAGGCAUAGUUGUCUGUUCUGUUUGUACCUGCAUUUCAGUGCCUAGAACAGUGCCUGACACAGGAUCAGUGAACGAGUUAAGGAACAAAUGAAUAAAUGAGUUGCUAUUUUUGCAGAGUUGUUGGAGGUCAAAAUAAGAUCAUGAGUAGGAAAUUACUUUGCAAACUGCAAAUUGCUACACAAAUAUAAAGAUUUAUUAUCACAGAACAUGGUCUAGGUUCUAUUAAAUAAAUUUAUCCAGUCAAUCAGUCAGUGAGUGCUUCCUGAGCUUCCUCUUGGGUCUGGCAUUGUGAUACAAAGAAAGAGGGGGCCUGGUUCCUUCCUUCAAGGGCUCGCAGUCCGGCAGGAGGAUAUACAAGUGAGGCAGGCACUAAAACACAAUAUAGGUAAGUAUAGGGUGCUAAGGGGGAAACAAAAGGGACUGAGUUCCCACACUAAAAAGGAGUGGGUCAGGGAACUUUCUGGAAGAGGUGUUCUGGCCCUCACUCUGCCGAAGGGCAGAAGCUGAAAGCAGACUUCUGGAGACAUCCUCCCAGGUUGACUCACCAGGCACAUGGCGGGUGAGGCUGGAGAUGGAAAAGUGACUGAGAGUAAGAGAGGGCCUGGAGGGCCCACGUGCUUAUCAGGAGGGGCCUCGGGGUGCAAGAGAAAGCAUUUAGAAGGACAUGGUGGGAGAGAAUGGCUGGGCUUGUGGGCAGGGUAGUUCCCCGGGCAGAUGAGUGGAGGCCAGACCCUGUGAAGCCAAAGUCCCCACGUGUGGCCUGCUUUAAAAGGCACUGAGGAGGACCAUGGCUUCUGGAAGAAGAUGACAUAUACAACCCAGGCCAGCUGCGGCUGCAACAGAGCUCUUCAGUGUGUUCAUUUCUCUUUUUGUUUGUUCAUUCGUCUGACAAAUACCAUGAGAGGCUGUGGAAGGGUCUCCACUGGGCACCAACGGGAAAGCACCCAUAAGAAGAGGCAGCUUCUUCCCUCACAACGUAUAGAGGAGAGCAAAGCCAAUGGAAAAUUCAUCCCCUUACCAUAUGUUGCCUGAGUUCUGACUAUGUGCAGCUAGUGGGGCCUUAAAGAAACCUGUCAACCCCCUUGCCCCAGUACACACACACACAUGAACACACACACACAUACUGGCAUGGCACUCACAUUCCAGAGAGGGCUGGCAGGGAGAUAAGGGAGGAAAACACCCAGGGUGUCAGGAUGGGGGAAGAGCCAGGAGAAAAUGAAAGUGAAAUAGGGGAUAGAGGGUUGGAGGGUGAGGGCGUGCACACUGAGGUGGGGGAUCUAGUAGGCCCUGCUGGGAAGAUGCCCAGAGCAAAAGCAGGAGAGGAGCUAGGGAACCUGUGCAUGACCUCUGAGGGGGCAGCAGCAGCCUCCUUUCUGAAGCAGCAAGGUGACAGCGUGGGGGCGCAGAAGUGGAGGCAGUAUGAAAACAGGUCUGCGGGGUGCAGAGAAAGGGGCAGUAGAUCGUCCAGGACCUUAUGGAUCAUUGUGAUGACUCUGGCUUAUACUGUGUUUGUGAUGGGCGCCUUUGGAGGGUUUAAAUGGAGGAAUGACUUGGUGUGACUCCUGUUUUAACAGGAUUUUUUCUGGGGACUAUGUUGAUAACAGAGUGCAGAGGAACAAGGAUGGAAGCAGGGAUAUCUGUUAUGAAGAUGCAGGGAGAAGCCAGGUGAGGGCUAUAGUGCUCAGACCAGGUGGCAGAGAUGGUAAGAAGUGGGCCGACCCUGAACAUCAUUUGAAGGAAGAACAGGCUAUAUUUUCUGACAUUGGAAAGAGGGUGUAAAAUAGAUAGAGGAGUUAAGAAUGUCUCUAAGGGUUUUGUACCUGAGCAAAUGGAAAGUUUGACAGGCCAUUAACUGAGAUGGGAGACAGCAAGAGAGGCAAUUUGGAGGUGUUGGGGGAGGUAGGAGACUGGAAAUUUAUUCAAAAAAAAUUACUUCUGAAAUUUUCUGUGGUUAAAGGAAACCUAUUUUAAAUAUAAAGAUAUAGAUAGAUUAUAGGGACAUUCUAUAAUGAUAAAAAGGUCAAUUUACCAAGAAGAUAAACAGUCAAAUAUACUAUGCAACUAACAAAGAUC
Sapajus apella (tufted capuchin) is the source of this 9220-nucleotide long non-coding RNA. RefSeq lists it as uncharacterized. Lineage: Eukaryota; Metazoa; Chordata; Mammalia; Primates; Cebidae. The record is from RefSeq and is a predicted model, not a curated record. The transcript has 3 exons.